GGGGUAAAUUAAUGUUUAGGACUAUUUUUUUUAAAAAAAAACUUCAAAUACCACCCUUGUGGUUUCGCACUUCUUCACUUUAGUACCCUGUGGUCUAAAGUCUAUCAAUUUAGUACCCUAUGGAUACACCUCACUUUAGUACUCUGUGAUUUAAAGUGCAUCAAUUUAGUACCAUGUGGUUUCUUUUUUUUUUCUUUUCGUCGGCUCCUCUGUUAAUGUUUCAUUAAAUUAUAUAAAAAAAACUUUAGAUACCAUACCUAGAUUUGUCGAAUAUUUACUUUCUUAGUUUUAAUUUUGUCACUGAUAUUUUUUCCUCUGUUAAUAUUUCGUUAAAUUAUAUACAAAAAACUUCAGAUACCCUACCUAGGUUUAUCGAAUAUUCACUUUAGUACCCUUUAAUUUUAACUUUGUCACUGAUUUAACGUAAAAAAUUAGUGAAAUGGAUAAUAAAAAGAGAAAAAUGAAACCAAAGGGUACUAAUUUGAUACACUUUAAACCACAAGGUACUACAGUGAGAAAGUGCAAAACCACAUGGGCUAACUUGAUACACUUUAAACUAUAUGGUACUAAAGUGAAAAAGUGUAAAACCACAGGGAGUAUUUGAAGUUUACCUUUUUUUUUUAAAAAAAAAAAACUGCUUAAGCAAGGUGGGCCUAGAGGCCCAAGUAGAGAUCAUAUGUAUAGAUCUAUGUAUGAACUACCAUUUUUUUAACUUUUCCCCUGAGAAUGUCUGUAGGCCUGCGCACAUACACACACAAUUUUACUUCUACAUCUCACUGGUGGAAGAGUCUCUUGUUGCUCUUGUUAAUAAUACCGGUAGAGAACGAUAUUUUAAAUAUUUUUAUAUUUAAUACUUCUUAUUUGGUGGUGGGAAAUCUCUUGUUGCUUUUGUUAAUAAUACUAGUACAGAACGGUAGUUUAAAUAUUUUUAUAUUUAACAUUUCUCUCGACCCAUGACGUGGAUUUGAAUUAAAAGGAAGAAAAGUAAUAAUGUAAGGAGUUUGACGUGACUCGAAUUCGGAAUCUCCUGUUCUGAUAUUAUGUUAAAUAAUACGAAACAAUCGUUAUUCUCUAAAAACUUAAGCCGGUAAAAAAUAGUAUUUUAAAUAUUUUUAUAUUUAACAGCUUUAUUUUUGUUCUAUUAUUAAUAUAGUUAUUUCCUUUCUCUCUUUCUCUCUUUCAGUUGACCAAGUUAUAUGUGUGU
This 1204-nucleotide long non-coding RNA is filed under the name Ananas comosus (pineapple). RNAcentral's name for it is "long non-coding RNA (ACOM_LNC027471)". The record is from RNAcentral. Lineage: Eukaryota; Viridiplantae; Streptophyta; Magnoliopsida; Poales; Bromeliaceae.